UAAUGUAUGGGGAUCUGCCCGAUAGAGGGGGAUAACUACUGGAAACGGUGGCUAAUACCGCAUAAUGUCUACGGACCAAAGCAGGGGCUCUUCGGACCUUGCACUAUCGGAUGAACCCAUAUGGGAUUAGCUAGUAGGUGGGGUAAAGGCUCACCUAGCGACGAUCUCUAGCUGGUCUGAGAGGAUGAUCAGCCACACUGGGACUGAGACACGGCCCAG
Molecule: ribosomal RNA, 219 nt
Filed under: uncultured bacterium
Lineage: Bacteria
Description: partial 16S ribosomal RNA
Rfam family: Bacterial small subunit ribosomal RNA
Source: RNAcentral